CCUACGGGUGGCAGCAGUCGAGAAUCAUUCACAAUGGGGGAAACCCUGAUGGUGCGACGCCGCGUGGGGGAAUGAAGGUCUUCGGAUUGUAAACCCCUGUCAUGUGGGCGCAAAUUAAAAAGAUAGUACCACAAGAGGAAGAGACGGCUAACUCUGUGCCAGCAGCCGCGGUAAUACAGAGGUCUCAAGCGUUGUUCGGAAUCACUGGGCGUAAAGCGUGCGUAGGCUGUUUCGUAAGUCGUGUGUGAAAGGCGCGGGCUCAACCCGCGGACGGCACAUGAUACUGCGAGACUAGAGUAAGGGAGGGGGAACCGGAAUUCUCGGUGUAGCAGUGAAAUGCGUAGAUAUCGAGAGGAACACUCGUGGCGAAGGCGGGUUCCUGGACAUUAACUGACGCUGAGGCACGAAGGCCAGGGGAGCGAAAGGGAUUAGAUACCCCUGUAGUC
RNAcentral lists this ribosomal RNA (446 nucleotides) under uncultured bacterium. RNAcentral's name for it is "partial 16S ribosomal RNA". It matches the Rfam family "Bacterial small subunit ribosomal RNA", at positions 338 to 795 of the family's 1533-position model. The record is from RNAcentral.